RNAcentral lists this ribosomal RNA (496 nucleotides) under uncultured bacterium. Its description in RNAcentral is "partial 16S ribosomal RNA". It matches the Rfam family "Bacterial small subunit ribosomal RNA", at positions 28 to 506 of the family's 1533-position model. The record is from RNAcentral.
GACGAACGCUGGCGGCGUGCCUAAUACAUGCAAGUUGAGCGAUGAAGAUUGGUGCUUGCACCAAUUUGAAGAGCAGCGAACGGGUGAGUAACGCGUGGGGAAUCUGCCUUUGAGCGGGGGACAACAUUUGGAAACGAAUGCUAAUACCGCAUAACAACUUUAAACAUAAGUUUUAAGUUUGAAAGAUGCAAUUGCAUCACUCAAAGAUGAUCCCGCGUUGUAUUAGCUAGUUGGUGAGGUAAAGGCUCACCAAGGCGAUGAUACAUAGCCGACCUGAGGGGGUGAUCGGCCACAUUGGGACUGAGACACGGCCCAAACUCCUACGGGAGGCAGCAGUAGGGAAUCUUCGGCAAUGGACGAAAGUCUGACCGAGCAACGCCGCGUGAGUGAAGAAGGUUUUCGGAUCGUAAAACUCUGUUGGUAGAGAAGAACGUUGGUGAGAGUGGAAAGCUCAUCAAGUGACGGUAACUACCCAGAAAGGGACGGCUAACUACGU